AGAGUUUGAUCCUGGCUCAGGACGAACGCUGGCGGCGCGCCUAACACAUGCAAGUCGAACGGAGUUGUGUUGAAAGCUUGCUGGAUAUACAACUUAGUGGCGGACGGGUGAGUAACACGUGAGUAACCUGCCUUUCAGAGUGGAAUAACGUUUGGAAACGAACGCUAAUACCGCAUAACAUGAAAGAACGGCAUCGUUCUUUCAUCAAAGAUUUUAUCGCUGAGAGAUGGGCUCGCGGCCGAUUAGGUAGUUGGUGAGAUAACAGCCCACCAAGCCGACGAUCGGUAGCCGG
This 292-nucleotide ribosomal RNA is filed under the name uncultured bacterium. Its description in RNAcentral is "partial 16S ribosomal RNA". It matches the Rfam family "Bacterial small subunit ribosomal RNA", at positions 8 to 290 of the family's 1533-position model. The record is from RNAcentral.